UGCCAGCAGCCGCGGUAAUACGGAGGGUGCGAGCGUUAAUCGGAAUUACUGGGCGUAAAGCGCGCGUAGGUGGUUAAUUAAGUCAGAUGUGAAAUCCCAGGGCCCAACCUGGGAACUGCGCUUAAGACUGGAGAGCUAGAAAACGGAAGAGGGUAGUGGAAUUCCCAGUGUAGAGGUGAAAUUCGUAGAUAUUGGGAAGAACACCAGUGGCGAAAGCGGCUACCUGGUCCGGAUUUGACGCUGAGGCGCGAAAGCGUGGGGAGCAAACAGGAUUAGAUA
This 279-nucleotide ribosomal RNA is filed under the name uncultured bacterium. RNAcentral describes it as "partial 16S ribosomal RNA". It matches the Rfam family "Bacterial small subunit ribosomal RNA", at positions 506 to 784 of the family's 1533-position model. The record is from RNAcentral.